RNAcentral lists this transfer RNA (64 nucleotides) under Mastinocerus sp. MAS01. RNAcentral describes it as "tRNA-Leu". The record is from RNAcentral. Lineage: Eukaryota; Metazoa; Arthropoda; Insecta; Coleoptera; Phengodidae.
GUUACUUUGACAGAAUAGUGUGUUUGAUUUAGAAUCAUUUAAUGUAAUAGCUUUACAUGUAAUA